Molecule: non-coding RNA, 171 nt
Organism: Podarcis muralis (Common wall lizard)
Lineage: Eukaryota; Metazoa; Chordata; Lepidosauria; Squamata; Lacertidae
Source: RefSeq, a predicted model, not a curated record
UCCAGACCUUUCAAGGCGGUGGACUAGGAGCUAUUUCCCUCUGCAGUUUUUGUCAUCGAUCUUGCCACCUUCUCCUUUAAAAUAAGGUUCUUCAAAAGCAGAAAGGAAUCAAUGGGCAGAUGUGAUGCUUGCAGAGACAAUAUGUUGCAGAAUAUAGAUGUCUCAGAGAAA